CCGAUGUUGAAACACCAGUUCCCGUACGAUCAUCGAAGUUAAGCAAAGUUGAGUUUCUACAGUACCUAGAUGGGUGACCGAUUGAGAAUACCAGGUGGCCG
Non-coding RNA from Acanthosepion pharaonis, 101 nucleotides. The record is from the annotation of a GenBank genome assembly. Lineage: Eukaryota; Metazoa; Mollusca; Cephalopoda; Sepiida; Sepiidae.